Molecule: ribosomal RNA, 613 nt
Filed under: Bacillus subtilis
Lineage: Bacteria; Bacillati; Bacillota; Bacilli; Caryophanales; Bacillaceae
Description: partial 16S ribosomal RNA
Source: RNAcentral
AGAACGGCGUACGCUGGUGGUGUGCCUAAUAAAUGCAGGGAGAGCGGAAGGAUGGGAACUUGCUCCCUUGAGUAAUACGUGCGUGACUGGUGAGUUAAACGUGAGUAACCUGGCCUGUAAGGACUGUGAUAACUUCCGUUGACACCGUGACUAGAUACCGUGAAGUGUUGUUUGAACCGCAUGUGUUUCCUACAUAAAAAGUGUGAGCUUUCGGCUUAGAACUUAAAUGAUGUGACCCGCGUGCGCAUUAGCUAGUUGAGUUAUGUAAAUUAGCUUAUCCAAGAGCGACGAAUGCGUUGCCGACCUGGUGAUUGUGAAUCUUGCAAAACUGUAGACUGAUGAAAAGUGCCAUAAUUCCUAGUGAUUGAUGCAUUAGUGAUAUCUUUCCGAAUGAAACGAAAAUUUUGGAGUGAACAAACGGCCGGCGUGAUUGAAGAUGAGUCCUUCGGGAAUCGUAAAAGGCUUCUGGUUGGUUAGGGGAAAUGAAACAAGGUAACCCGUUUUCGAAAUAGGGGGCGGGUAACCUUUGGACGGGUAACCUAAAACCAUAGAAAAUGGCCAACGGGCUUAAACUAACGUUGCCCAAGCAUGCCGGGGUUAAAAAAUAAAAAAA